GAUCUUUUGAGUGUUUGCAUCAAUAAUGUUGUAGUACUGGGAUUACAAAAACAGCUUAUUCCCCCGCAAAGAUUAUAAGAGGACUCUUAUUACAUCUUGACUGAUACUAUCAUUCCUAAAUAGCUGAAAAAUAUUCCUUGCUAAGCUUAGGAUCAGGCUUCAUCGACUUCUCCCCAGGCUUCCAUCCCGCCGGGCAAACCUCGUCUGGAUUUUCUUGGACAAAUUGCAAUGCCUGAAGGGUUCUCAUGGUUUCAUCGACACUACGACCGAUUGCAAGGUUAUUGAUGGUAGAGUGUUGAAUGACUCCUUCCUUGUCGAUGAUGAACAGACCCCGCAAAGCAAUCCCCUGAUCGGGGAUAAGUACACCGUAAGAUUCUGCAACAGAUUUAGUCACAUCGGAAACCAACGG
RNAcentral lists this unclassified non-coding RNA (409 nucleotides) under Hevea brasiliensis (rubber tree). Lineage: Eukaryota; Viridiplantae; Streptophyta; Magnoliopsida; Malpighiales; Euphorbiaceae. The record is from RNAcentral.